ACGCUUGGCGGCAGGCCUAACACAUGCAAGUCGAGCGGUAGAGAGGUGCUUGCACCUCUUGAGAGCGGCGGACGGGUGAGUAAUGCCUAGGAAUCUGCCUGGUAGUGGGGGAUAACGCUCGGAAACGGACGCUAAUACCGCAUACGUCCUACGGGAGAAAGCAGGGGACCUUCGGGCCUUGCGCUAUCAGAUGAGCCUAGGUCGGAUUAGCUAGUUGGUGGGGUAAUGGCUCACCAAGGCGACGAUCCGUAACUGGUCUGAGAGGAUGAUCAGUCACACUGGAACUGAGACACGGUCCAGACUCCUACGGGAGGCAGCAGUGGGGAAUAUUGGACAAUGGGCGAAAGCCUGAUCCAGCCAUGCCGCGUGUGUGAAGAAGGUCUUCGGAUUGUAAAGCACUUUAAGUUGGGAGGAAGGGCAUUAACCUAAUACGUUAGUGUUUUGACGUUACCGACAGAAUAAGCACCGGCUAACUCUGUGCCAGCAGCCGCGGUAAUACAGAGGGUGCAAGCGUUAAUCGGAAUUACUGGGCGUAAAGCGCGCGUAGGUGGUUCGUUAAGUUGGAUGUGAAAGCCCCGGGCUCAACCUGGGAACUGCAUUCAAAACUGUCGAGCUAGAGUAUGGUAGA
This 628-nucleotide ribosomal RNA is filed under the name Pseudomonas sp. AM28T. Its description in RNAcentral is "bacterial SSU rRNA". It matches the Rfam family "Bacterial small subunit ribosomal RNA", at positions 33 to 655 of the family's 1533-position model. The record is from RNAcentral. Lineage: Bacteria; Pseudomonadati; Pseudomonadota; Gammaproteobacteria; Pseudomonadales; Pseudomonadaceae.